ACCGGCGAUACCCGAAUGGGGAAACCCAGUGUGACUCGUCACACUAUCAUUAACUGAAUCCAUAGGUUAAUGAGGCGAACCGGGGGAACUGAAACAUCUAAGUACCCCGAGGAAAAGAAAUCAACCGAGAUUCCCCCAGUAGCGGCGAGCGAACGGGGAGGAGCCCAGAGCCUGAAUCAGCAUGUGUGUUAGUGGAAGCGUCUGGAAAGGCGCGCGAUACAGGGUGACAGCCCCGUACACAAAAGCGCAUGUGCUGUGAGCUCGAUGAGUAGGGCGGGACACGUGGUAUCCUGUCUGAAUAUGGGGGGACCAUCCUCCAAGGCUAAAUACUCCUGACUGACCGAUAGUGAACCAGUACCGUGAGGGAAAGGCGAAAAGAACCCCGGCGAGGGGAGUGAAAAAGAACCUGAAACCGUGUACGUACAAGCAGUGGGAGCACAGGUUUACCUGUGUGACUGCGUACCUUUUGUAUAAUG
RNAcentral lists this ribosomal RNA (476 nucleotides) under Salmonella enterica subsp. enterica serovar Enteritidis. Its description in RNAcentral is "partial 23S ribosomal RNA". It matches the Rfam family "Bacterial large subunit ribosomal RNA", at positions 103 to 617 of the family's 2925-position model. The record is from RNAcentral. Lineage: Bacteria; Pseudomonadati; Pseudomonadota; Gammaproteobacteria; Enterobacterales; Enterobacteriaceae.